AUUGCCGUGAAAAAGAAUGCCUUGGCAACACUGCUUACCCAACGUCAUAAAAAUUUUUCGCAUUCCUUUCAUCAAAAUUGCGAAAAUUUAGUGAAUAUUCUUUUGAUUAUUAAGGAGUCCAAUUUAUUUUCGCCACCAAAAAUUGAGAAAUCGUAAGCGUUUCAAAUUGAGGACAGCAGAGGCUAUGAAAGAAUGUCGUAAAAAAGUGCACAGCCAAAGAGAAAUAGAAUCGUAGAAAUCAUUUGCUGGAAUGGAAUUACAACAAUUGUUUUGAAUUUAUGAGGUCAUUUUGCCCAAAUUGGUAUCAUUGUUUUUGUGUUGCUGCCUCUGAGCUCUGAGUGCGGUUAUUGUGUUUUGUUCGCGCCGUGUUUGCGUGUGUGUGUGUUUGUGAAUCUUAAGUGAAACAUUGUGAAAUUUCACCAAAUUAAUUUGCAUUUGAUCAGAAGAUUUAAAAGCAACCAACACCACCACCAGCGCUAAAAACAAAAAAGAAUCUCAGAAUAAAACUCAGUAUGAGUUGGAGUUUGGAGUCGCUGGGAAUUGCCGAUUUUAAUUUUUGAAAAAAAAGAUAACAGCUACAACAUUUACGCGCGGUAUUGAUUUGUGUGCUAGAGCGACUCUCAAGUAAAAGUAAAUUUUUAAAUCUCUUUUGUGCGUUACUUUUCGUGUUAUUGCUAUUUGCUGACUCCCAUCCCAUCCAUCCACCCACUCGGCCGAAGAAAUUGUGAAAAUAUAUACUCUGCAAAUUUGUUGAUAAAAAAGGAAAAUACGACAAAUGUUCAGUAACCAGCAGACAUUUUGACGACAACGGCAUAAGGCAAGCAAAGAAAAAAAAAAGAAUUCAACACAAUAUCUGUUUUAUCAACGCCACCCGCCGCCAGCCUGCCAACCAGCCAACAACACCACCAACAAAAUUAACAACAACAAGACAAAUACUCAACCAAAAAAUAAAAUCAAGCCAAAACUCGUUUGUGUGCAACGAACAAAAAUAUAUUUUUAUUUAAAAGAAAAGAAAAUUUUGAAUUAGAAAAGGAAAAGAAAAUUGUGAAAGUGUCUUAAAAUAGUUGAAGAAGAAGAAAAAUCAAACAGAAAAACAAAUAAAUUUACUUCAAAAUUGCAUAAAAUUCGGAAGAAAUACACAUCAUAAAUACUCUUUUGGAUCAACAACAGCACCAACAUGGAAUCAGCCUUGGAUGUUUUAUCACGUGCCGCCGCCACCAUCAUGGUGCAGCAGGACAGUGCGAAUGCACACACAAUUCUUGUUAAAGAAUGUUGAAAGAAACCCCUAUGGCCGGAAGCAAGGUGAAUUCACAUUUGACACCGUACUUGGGUUCAGUCAUUUGAA
This is a long non-coding RNA of Musca domestica (house fly), 1345 nucleotides long. RefSeq lists it as uncharacterized. The record is from RefSeq and is a predicted model, not a curated record. Lineage: Eukaryota; Metazoa; Arthropoda; Insecta; Diptera; Muscidae. The transcript is spliced from 3 exons.